Molecule: long non-coding RNA, 365 nt
Organism: Oryza brachyantha (malo sina)
Lineage: Eukaryota; Viridiplantae; Streptophyta; Magnoliopsida; Poales; Poaceae
Exons: 3
Source: RefSeq, a predicted model, not a curated record
GCUCCCCCGCGGGGCCGAGGCGGAGGAACAGCAGCCCGCCGUCGCUGCCGUAGCGGCGCAGGGCGUCCAACGAACGGUGCGGAGCUCGCCGACGAGGUGGAGGUGGCCGACGAAAGGAAGCGCCGGCGGCGACGGCGGAAGCUUCCCCCUUCCACGAUUCUUGAUAGCGAUGACGACGACUAGGAGCAACGCCGCCACCAUGACGACGAGUGAGCCAACCACCACGAUGGCCACUGGUUUUCAACAGAUAGACGGCGUGUCUGGAAUCUAUGACGUUUGAGGGCAUUUUCUGAAGAUAAUCAUCGAUCAUCUUCUGUUGGAGUGGAUGGCUGCUCGCAGUUGCAGGCUACGAUGCUGGUACAAUU